Molecule: long non-coding RNA, 2471 nt
Filed under: Citrus x clementina
Lineage: Eukaryota; Viridiplantae; Streptophyta; Magnoliopsida; Sapindales; Rutaceae
Description: Citrus clementina (C. clementina) long non-coding RNA (CCLE_LNC000973)
Source: RNAcentral
GGGCACAACUGGCCCUAAUUUUUCGUCCUCUCCAAUUCCAACUCUUUUCUUCUCUCAACUCUCUUUUCUCCUCCUCCACAUUUGGCCAUACUUUUUUUUUCUAAUUAGUGUUGAUCACUCUCUGAUCCACACUCUCCACUGAUUUUUCGUGUCGCCACUCUUCAAUUUCAAUUCCAUUCUCCACUCUCUAAUGCUUGAUCUGGUAGCCCUUUUUUUCUUUUAAUAUCUGGUGUCAUUUUGCAUAAAACUUUUGAGUGUGAAUUUUGGGUGACCUUAAGGAGAAAGUUAUUAAUUUUGGCCUCUCCUUACUUAUUUAAUUGUUUGGGAUUAUGUGUUUAACAAUCUGAAUAAUUUUCUUUUUUUAUUAAUUGAAUGAUUGUUGCUGGUUAGGGUUGAAGCGGCAUCUAUGGAAUGCAAAAAUAUUUUGAGAAGUGAUUUCCAUGGGCACUUGGGAGCUUAAGAUUUCAAGACGGUAAGUUUUUUUCUAUUUUUUGUCAUAUUCAUGCUCUGUUAUUUUAAUAUUUAAUUUGAACCGCUUUGGAUUCUAUAUAUUUAUAGAAUGCUCUGUAUUGUUCUGUUCUAUUUAUAAAAUGUAGUAUUGAAAAAAAAAAGAAAAAAAGUCUUGUCUUUAGUGUUCUAUUUGUGAUACAAGAUGCUACCAGAAGCUCAUCGAUGUUCUGUUAAAGGUGGAAGCUUACAUAGUGAUGGAUAAUUUAGGAAUGAUGUCGGUGUCUACUAUAUCUUCUAUAACUUUGCUUAUUGAAUUGGAUGUUAAGGAUAUGGGUGUGCUUUAGGAGUAUCCAUGAGAUGAGAAGUAAAAUUGUGUGAGAUCAAGAUCGAGUUUAGUAAUUAAAGCCGAGCUCACUCUUCAUCGACUCGCUAAAGAUCUCAUCCUAGAAGGUCAUUUAUGAAAAAAAAUCAAUCUCUUUUUACUUUUUAUUUUUAAUUUUUUUCUUUUUCUUUUUUAAUUGGAAUUUCAGAUUUUUUUUCCGCUUGAUGAAAUGUAUAAAUAAGAUAAUAUGUUUUAACAUCGACAUAUUUUGUUUGUUUCCUGUAAGAUGUUAUAACUAUAAAUUCUGUUUUUUUUUUAUUUGUAUUAAGUCCAGAUCAACAUUCUAUUAAGGAAAAAAGAAAAGAAAAGAAAAGAAAAACACAGUAGAUUAGUAGAUGUUAUGAUGUGUAUUGUGAGGAGAGUUUUGUUGUAAUUCCUUAAUCUUGGAACCAUUUAUAGCUCUAACAUGUGCAAGAUGGAUCAGCAUUCCAUGUACUAGUCAACACAUCUUUGGCAUGCUAACUGAUCUUUUUGAUAAAUUUUUUGCUUUAUUUCUCCCUUUGUAUGUUCUUUGGUGAUGAAUAUUUUAUAUGAUGUGUAUCAUGCAAAUAUGUUUACUUGAUAAUCUUUUUUAAAUUUGGUGUUGGUAAUCAAAAGUCUAGAAAAAGUUGGAUCACUCAAUUUAUAUUUUUUUUUAAAAUUUCCUUACUAGAGUGUAUUCAUGCAUAAUUUUAAUUACUCUAUGUAUAAAUGGUAGUUGGUAUUUUAUUGUCAUGAAAUGUGUUCAUUUUCUUUUCAGGGCCAUUUGGCAUCUUGCAACUAAGGCGAUAAAUGAUCUUGUUAGUGGUAGCUAUUACAAUUCAGCUGGGAAGGCUCCCAAUUUUUUCUUUUUUUUAUUCUUUUCUCUUGCAGUAAGGAUUAUUUUCUUUAGGAUAAAAGGGCACUUAGCUUUCCCAAUUUUUCAUUUUGUUUCCUUUUGUCUUGAGUUUCUGUAGUCUGUAAUUCAGCAUUUGGAAGGAUUUUGAUCUACUUGUUACAGUGUUCUUUAAUCACAGUAGUAAAUAAAAAUAUGACAUGAAGCAGUAAUUUGUAGUAUGAAUGGAAGGUAUAAAAAUAGAUAUUGAACUCUUCUUAUUUUAAUUUGUAUAUCAUUGUGUCUUAUUACUCUAGGGAUUGUGGAGUAUUCAACUCCUAUUUUAUUAUUUUUAACCAAUUCUUUUUUACAAUAUGUUCAGUUCUACUCCAGUGAUAUUAUUAAUGGGAAAUUUUAUUUGUUUUCAUGAAGAUCCAGUUUGCUUGAUUAUUGUUGCCAAUGUAAUUGAUCGGCAUUUUUGUUAUUGCCGAUAUUUUCAUGAUCUAAAACCUGAAUUUAGACAUUUAUUUGAAAUAAAUUUUAUUUUUCAUAUUAAAAUUUUUUUCAGAGGAAAAUAAGAACAGGUCAAUCCAUGUGAUUGUAAACUUGUAAUUCAUAAAUGAUAAUUGAGAAUAUUGAUUGUUAUUGUUAAAUUUUCAAAUUAAAUUUAUUAAGUCUUAUGAAGAUAGAUAGCAUAGCUUUUCGAAAUGGUUUCAGUUAUAUCAUGAAAAAUUGGAGAACUUAUUUCGGAAAUUGAAAAUUAUAUACCGUUCUUGUUUUUAGGAGACAUGCAUUCUUGAAAAAGAAUGAUGCUCUUUAAAUCAUAAUAAAAAAAAUUGAUUAUAA